GGUGAGUAAUGUCUGGGAAACUGCCUGAUGGAGGGGGAUAACUACUGGAAACGGUAGCUAAUACCGCAUAACGUCGCAAGACCAAAGAGGGGGACCUUCGGGCCUCUUGCCAUCGGAUGUGCCCAGAUGGGAUUAGCUAGUAGGUGGGGUAACGGCUCACCUAGGCGACGAUCCCUAGCUGGUCUGAGAGGAUGACCAGCCACACUGGAACUGAGACACGGUCCAGACUCCUACGGGAGGCAGCAGUGGGGAAUAUUGCACAAUGGGCGCAAGCCUGAUGCAGCCAUGCCGCGUGUAUGAAGAAGGCCUUCGGGUUGUAAAGUACUUUCAGCGGGGAGGAAGGGAGUAAAGUUAAUACCUUUGCUCAUUGACGUUACCCGCAGAAGAAGCACCGGCUAACUCCGUGCCAGCAGCCGCGGUAAUACGGAGGGUGCAAGCGUUAAUCGGAAUUACUGGGCGUAAAGCGCACGCAGGCGGUUUGUUAAGUCAGAU
Molecule: ribosomal RNA, 492 nt
Filed under: Escherichia coli
Lineage: Bacteria; Pseudomonadati; Pseudomonadota; Gammaproteobacteria; Enterobacterales; Enterobacteriaceae
Description: bacterial SSU rRNA
Rfam family: Bacterial small subunit ribosomal RNA
Source: RNAcentral